This 138-nucleotide small nucleolar RNA is filed under the name Ornithorhynchus anatinus (platypus). The record is from RNAcentral. Lineage: Eukaryota; Metazoa; Chordata; Mammalia; Monotremata; Ornithorhynchidae.
UACCUCUCAGGAUCCCACCUGGAGAGUUUCCAGUCCUCUACCAGUCUCGGCUACGGGAGGGGGAGUCAAGCAGAGGCCUACCAAUUCCGUUCCUAGCUUGGGCAGCGGCUAGUGAGUGGAAGACAAUCUGCUACAAGU